Molecule: ribosomal RNA, 450 nt
Filed under: uncultured bacterium
Lineage: Bacteria
Description: bacterial SSU rRNA
Rfam family: Bacterial small subunit ribosomal RNA
Source: RNAcentral
AACGAACGCUGGCGGCAUGCCUAACACAUGCAAGUCGAACGAGACCUUCGGGUCUAGUGGCGCACGGGUGCGUAACGCGUGGGAAUCUGCCCUUGGGUUCGGAAUAACAGUUAGAAAUGACUGCUAAUACCGGAUAAUGUCUUCGGACCAAAGAUUUAUCGCCCAGGGAUGAGCCCGCGUAGGAUUAGCUAGUUGGUGAGGUAAAGGCUCACCAAGGCGACGAUCCUUAGCUGGUCUGAGAGGAUGAUCAGCCACACUGGGACUGAGACACGGCCCAGACUCCUACGGGAGGCAGCAGUGGGGAAUAUUGGACAAUGGGCGAAAGCCUGAUCCAGCAAUGCUGCGUGAGUGAUGAAGGCCUUAGGGUUGUAAAGCUCUUUUACCCGGGAUGAUAAUGACAGUACCGGGAGAAUAAGCCCCGGCUAACUCCGUGCCAGCAGCCGCGGUAAU